UAACCAUCCCGAGCGGCCGAGAGACCUGGAUCGACGACGCCGCAGCAACCCUCCCCGUGUAGCAACGGGGAACGGUGCUACUGCCAGGACCGAUGGAGA
This 99-nucleotide non-coding RNA is filed under the name Arthrobacter sp. RNAcentral's name for it is "SAM-I sequence". It matches the Rfam family "SAM riboswitch aptamer (S box leader)". Rfam says of the family: The SAM riboswitch is found upstream of a number of genes which code for proteins involved in methionine or cysteine biosynthesis in Gram-positive bacteria. The SAM riboswitch acts at the level of transcription termination control. The record is from RNAcentral. RNAcentral also lists the same sequence under 1 other name. Lineage: Bacteria; Bacillati; Actinomycetota; Actinomycetes; Micrococcales; Micrococcaceae.